This 253-nucleotide ribosomal RNA is filed under the name uncultured prokaryote. Its description in RNAcentral is "partial 16S ribosomal RNA". It matches the Rfam family "Bacterial small subunit ribosomal RNA", at positions 524 to 776 of the family's 1533-position model. The record is from RNAcentral.
UACGUAGGUGGCAAGCGUUGUCCGGAUUUACUGGGUGUAAAGGGCGUGUAGGCGGGAUGGUAGGUCAGAUGUGAAAUGCCCAGGCUCAACCUGGGAGCUGCAUUUGAAGCCCCUAUUCUUGAGUGUCGGAGAGGGAAGUGGAAUUCCUAGUGUAGCGGUGAAAUGCGUAGAUAUUAGGAGGAACACCAGUGGCGAAGGCGACUUUCUGGACGAUAACUGACGCUGAGGCGCGAAAGCGUGGGGAGCAAACAGG